This 483-nucleotide ribosomal RNA is filed under the name uncultured bacterium. Its description in RNAcentral is "bacterial SSU rRNA". It matches the Rfam family "Bacterial small subunit ribosomal RNA", at positions 35 to 507 of the family's 1533-position model. The record is from RNAcentral.
GCUGGCGGCAGGCCUAACACAUGCAAGUCGAGCGGUAACAGGAAUUAGCUUGCUAAUUUGCUGACGAGCGGCGGACGGGUGAGUAAUGCCUGGGAAUAUGCCUUAGUGUGGGGGAUAACUAUUGGAAACGAUAGCUAAUACCGCAUAACGUCUUCGGACCAAAGAGGGGGACCUUCGGGCCUCUCGCGCUAAGAUUAGCCCAGGUGGGAUUAGCUAGUUGGUGAGGUAAAGGCUCACCAAGGCAACGAUCCCUAGCUGGUCUGAGAGGAUGAUCAGCCACACUGGAACUGAGACACGGUCCAGACUCCUACGGGAGGCAGCAGUGGGGAAUAUUGCACAAUGGGGGAAACCCUGAUGCAGCCAUGCCGCGUGUAUGAAGAAGGCCUUCGGGUUGUAAAGUACUUUCAGUCGUGAGGAAGGCAUUGUAGUUAAUAGCUGCAGUGCUUGACGUUAGCGACAGAAGAAGCACCGGCUAACUCCGUG